This 497-nucleotide ribosomal RNA is filed under the name uncultured bacterium. Its description in RNAcentral is "partial 16S ribosomal RNA". It matches the Rfam family "Bacterial small subunit ribosomal RNA", at positions 28 to 507 of the family's 1533-position model. The record is from RNAcentral.
GAUGAACGCUGGCGGCGUGUCUAAUACAUGCAAGUCGAGCGAACGGACGAGAAGCUUGCUUCUCUGAUGUUAGCGGCGGACGGGUGAGUAACACGUGGAUAACCUACCUAUAAGACUGGGAUAACUUCGGGAAACCGGAGCUAAUACCGGAUAAUAUUUUGAACCGCAUGGUUCAAAAGUGAAAGACGGUCUUGCUGUCACUUAUAGAUGGAUCCGCGCUGCAUUAGCUAGUUGGUAAGGUAACGGCUUACCAAGGCAACGAUGCAUAGCCGACCUGAGAGGGUGAUCGGCCACACUGGAACUGAGACACGGUCCAGACUCCUACGGGAGGCAGCAGUAGGGAAUCUUCCGCAAUGGGCGAAAGCCUGACGGAGCAACGCCGCGUGAGUGAUGAAGGUCUUCGGAUCGUAAAACUCUGUUAUUAGGGAAGAACAAAUGUGUAAGUAACUAUGCACAUCUUGACGGUACCUAAUCAGAAAGCCACGGCUAACUACGUG